CAAAGGUAUGGUCCCGACCUUAUUAUCAGCUGUGACGCAACUUACACAUGCAAGUCUCCGCAGCCCCGUGAGUAUGCCCUCAACCCCCCUUUCGGGGGAGGGAGGAGCGGGCAUCAGGCACAACAUUUAGCCCAAGACGCCAAGAUAAACCACACCCCCAAGGGAAUUCAGCAGUGAUAGACAUUAAGCCAUAAGUGAAAACUUGACUUAGACAGCGCUAAAUUGGGCCGGUAAAACUCGUGCCAGCCACCGCGGUUAGACGAGAGGCCCUAGUUGAUAAUACAACGGCGUAAAGGGUGGUUAGGGAAUACAAUAUAAUAAAGCCGAAUGGCCCCUUGGCUGUUAUACGCUUCUAGACGUCCGAAGUCCUUAUACGAAAGUAGCUUCAAUUUAAAUUACCCGACCCCACGAAAGCUAAGAAACAAACUGGGAUUAGAUACCCCACUAUGCCUAGCCAUAAACUUAGAUAUUUAACUACUGCAAAAUAUCCGCCAGAGUACUACGAGCAUUAGCUUAAAACCCAAAGGACCUGACGGUGUCUCAGACCCACCUAGAGGAGCCUGUUCUAAAACCGAUAAUCCCCGUUCAACCUUACCACUUCUAGCAAUAUCAGUCUAUAUACCGCCGUCGUUGGCUUACCCUGUGAAGGUAGAAUAGUGAGCAAAAUGAGCACAACCCAAAACGCCAGGUCGAGGUGUAGCGUAUGAUGUGGGAAGAAAUGGGCUACAUUUUCUAUUACAGAAUAUACGAAUAUGCACCAUGAAACGGUGCUUGAAGGAGGAUUUAGUAGUAAAAGGAAAAUAGAGUGUUCCUUUGAAUCCGGCUCUGAGACGCGUACACACCGCCCGUCACUCUCCCCUAAAAAUAUACUAAAAAUAAUUAAUUACAUAACAUUAACAUAAGGGUAGGCAAGUCGUAACAAGGUAAGUGUACCGGAAGGUGCACUUGGAAUUAACU
RNAcentral lists this non-coding RNA (957 nucleotides) under Enteromius trimaculatus (threespot barb). RNAcentral describes it as "12S ribosomal RNA". It matches the Rfam family "Bacterial small subunit ribosomal RNA". Lineage: Eukaryota; Metazoa; Chordata; Actinopteri; Cypriniformes; Cyprinidae. The record is from RNAcentral.